Oreochromis aureus is the source of this 1262-nucleotide long non-coding RNA. RefSeq lists it as uncharacterized. The record is from RefSeq and is a predicted model, not a curated record. The transcript has 4 exons. Lineage: Eukaryota; Metazoa; Chordata; Actinopteri; Cichliformes; Cichlidae.
GAUAUAUGUGUACAGAGUGUAUCUGGUGUGUUUAUAGAAGAGUAGGGAAGCGAUAUCAAGCUUUGACUUAUUCCGGGAUGUUCUGACUAUUGUCAAAUUUGUACAUGUUUGUUUGGUUAGUGCACUGGCCCUUUAAGAGAAAGGCAUUGUCUGUGUGCGGACAGGGGAAGUGUAAAAGACUCAGACAAUCGACUGAUUAAUGUGAUCUAUGCUGUGAAAGGCUGAUAAAAAGGCAUUCCCUGGAGAAGAUGAUCUGCAGGAUCCUGCUGCUCAUCAUCCUCACCUCAUGUGUCUCUGGAUCAUUUGUAGUCAAUGUGACACAGACCUGCUAUCAGGCAGAGGAGAACCACAACAAAAGGAAGAAUAUUAAUGUAUUUCUUUAUAAAUCACCAUAUUCUUUUGAUGUUGCAUUUUGAAAUUAUAUAUUAAAUACUUAUAAUAAAUGGCACAGUUGGCCAAAUGGUGCCAAGUGUAAAAUGGAUUUAAAGAAUUUCUUGAAUGCGAACCAGUUUGUAAUGUCUGACAAGGAAAACACAUAUCAUGUCUGUCAGCGAGGGCAGCAGUCUAAACACAGAUACCCAGAGAUAAUGUUUUUCUCUACAUGAUACCAUAUAAAAUAUAAAAUUAAAAAUAUCUGAUCAAAUCAUUUCAUGCAGGAAUCUUACAAAAUGAAUUUAUAAGCAACAACAACCUCUCACCAGCUUGGAAGAUCAAAUAAAUUACAUUGAAGGUAAAAAUAAACAGUUCUGUUGUCUCCUUCCUGGUGGUUUGGGAGUUGUUUUUGUCACGGACCCGGUUCCAGGGACUCAGGGUUAUUAUUAUUAUUAUUGUUAUGGUUGUUGUUUGAGGGUUGUGUCUUCUGCACUGCUGCUGUCCUGUGUUUGUGUACUGUCAGGUGUGUAUGGGUGUGUGCGUGUGUGAGGGUGUGGUAGUGGCAGGCACCUUCAGGCCUGGUGGGUGUGGCCCUGCCAGCUGACCGGUCACACCCAGGAAUCUCCACACACACCUGGUGCCGAUGAAGCCUCGUCAGAGGAGCUUCAAAACAGUGUGGCUGAGAGCUCCUCGACGCUGGAUCGUUGAGUGACUUCCCGAGGAAUUGUGGCGACCAGGAGGCAGCACACGGACAGUACACAGGGAACGGAGACAGAGCAUAGAGCACGGGAUAAGGGAGAAGACACGGAACGGGAGUUGGGAUCGCACUGGGGAUUUAUUGUUGUUUGGAUUUACACCACUGUAAAUAAACGCACUGCCUUCGUCAUCAA